GGGAAAGCUUCAGAACAAGAGCGUAUGAGGGAUGAUUUCUGGAAUGAGGCCAUCAAACUUGCAGACUUGCACCAUCCAAACGUUGUUGCCUUCUAUGGUGUUGUGCUAGAUGGUCCGGGUGGCUCGGUGGCGACUGUUACAGAAUAUAUGGUUAACGGGUCCUUGAGAAAUGCUUUACAAAAGAAUGAGAGGAAUCUGGAUAAGAGGAAACGCCUCGUGAUUGCCAUGGAUGUUGCAUUUGGAAUGGAGUAUCUUCAUGGGAAGAAUAUAGUGCACUUUGACUUGAAAAGUGACAACCUGUUGGUUAAUCUGCGUGAUCCCCACCGUCCAAUAUGCAAGGUUGGCGAUUUGGGGCUAUCCAAAGUGAAAUGUCA
Molecule: unclassified non-coding RNA, 374 nt
Filed under: Hevea brasiliensis (rubber tree)
Lineage: Eukaryota; Viridiplantae; Streptophyta; Magnoliopsida; Malpighiales; Euphorbiaceae
Source: RNAcentral